UUGGGGAGUUGCAGCGAUGAGAACGAAAAAGGCAUUAAAAUGAAAAAAAUGUUUGUUUGUCUGAUAUAUGAAACAACUUCCUCAUAGCUAUUCAAAUAGGUUCAAGAAGAGGCUGCCUGACUUUUUGGCUCAAAUCACUUGUGCCACAAAUGAUUUCUUUGAAAACCUGAGCAUUGUUCAAAAGGCAACUCCCUUCCACAAAGAAAAGAGGCGACCACUUCCUCGUGCCUCACAAAGAUUGUCAGACGGACUCGCUGAACUGAAUCUUGUCACACCUGAGCACAGUCUGUGUUCUGUCAUCUGAAACAACAUAAUGCUGUUCCUAUUAUUUUGUGGCGGAUGUUUUGCGUUGUCUGCAGGGCAAACCUUUGCUCCAACACCUUCAAUGGGACAAGUGAACAGCACAACACAGGUAACAACACCUCCAGCUCCCACUACUCCAUAUGUGGACCCACCUUUUGGUACUGACACAGCUACUAGUGGAUUUGCAAUUCUUCGAACAGCUGUCACUUCUUAUCAGGAGCUAAAUAAGACUACAGUUGAUCCAGUCUUGAGUCAGAUCUAUGACGUCAUUGGUGCGCAGCAACCUAAUCUGGAAUUUCAGCUGACUGUGAAAACUGUCCAGAAGGUUUGAUGGAUUAUGAUUCAAUGCAUAACAGCGUUCCCAGUUGUCUUGAAAGCACCAUAAAUCCAGAGAAUGACAAAGUUUGAUGACAAAGUUUGCCCACAAGAAGGACUGCCAUGCCACCUGAUGUUGUGUAGUAAGCUGUUAGUAUCCCAUGUGUGUCACCCUAAGUCACACUCUUUCCCUCUCAGAAUUUAGCCUCAUGUUCUGACUUGGUGGACUGAUUAGCCUGUUUUAGAGAAAUGUCAUCAUCGAAUAUUAUAAGAGCUUUCAUUGUCUCCUUAUAUGCCCCCGUUAUUUAUCCUACAGUUCUGACUUGGCUAUACAGGGAAAAUACUGUAAGAAUGCCUGAUGUUCUGAAUGCUGUCGCUGACCAUUUCAAAAGUGUUGAACAAAUAGGCAUAUCAACUACAUCCGUCUUGGCUUGCUCAUCAUUAAUGUCUUAAUCGAAAUUACGGCUUGCCUCUUAUCCGCUCAUCGUUCCCUUAUGCCAUAGUUUGUACAUCUCAAUUGUUAUAUAGGUCUAUCUCAUUAGUAUCUAAUAAUUUUAAGAAAUGUUGGAAUUAUGCAUUUCAUUGUUUUGCUUACUUUGUGUAUUAUAAUUAGUUAAUGUGCUUUUCUUCCGCUAGGAGGGGAUACUAUAUAAUGUUGUUAGGUCUGUAACCAUGUUUGCCAGUGAUAGUCUCCUCCCAUUCAAAUAUUUUUUUUCAACAAAAAGUUAAGUAAUGGACAAAUGUGAUUUCAGAUAAUAUUUGGAGGGUUGUUUUGUUUGCGCAAUGCGCUGUCUGUGCGUCUGUAUAUUGUCUAUAAAAGUGGAUCCGUGUGAUUGUGUUUUCCUUCCUUUUUAGACCACAAUAGGCCUAAUAAAAUACUUCAAGAAGCUAA
Long non-coding RNA from Oncorhynchus kisutch (coho salmon), 1510 nucleotides. RefSeq lists it as uncharacterized. The transcript has 5 exons. The record is from RefSeq and is a predicted model, not a curated record. Lineage: Eukaryota; Metazoa; Chordata; Actinopteri; Salmoniformes; Salmonidae.